GUGGGCCUACGGGAGGCAGCAGUGAGGAAUAUUGGUCAAUGGACGGAAGUCUGAACCAGCCAUGCCGCGUGCAGGAUGACGGCUCUAUGAGUUGUAAACUGCUUUUGUACGAGAAUAAUAGUUCUUACGUGUAGGGAUUUGAAUGUAUCGUACGAAUAAGGGUCGGCUAACUCCGUGCCAGCAGCCGCGGUAAUACGGAGGAUGCGAGCGUUAUCCGGAUUUAUUGGGUUUAAAGGGUGCGUAGGCGGUCCGGAAAGUCAGCGGUAAAAGCCCGGGGCUCAACCCCGGCGAGCCGUUGAAACUGG
RNAcentral lists this ribosomal RNA (305 nucleotides) under uncultured bacterium. RNAcentral describes it as "bacterial SSU rRNA". It matches the Rfam family "Bacterial small subunit ribosomal RNA", at positions 333 to 636 of the family's 1533-position model. The record is from RNAcentral.